AGCAAAUAGAAUAAAGAGUCUGACAAUGUCUUUUUUUUUUUUUUUUUUUUUUUAACUUUCUUGUUAUGGACCAAUCAGUAACCAUGAUCACGACCACAUUUGAGAAUCAGGGCUCUUUGCAGCUGGGGCAAUACUUCUGGAUCGGGAGCAACUUAUCAUGGAGGACCUGGUAUUAGAGGACACGUUGACAACAUAGAAUAAUACAGAUAAACUCCUACUUCUAGAAACCAAGAGGAGCAACAAAGCCAAAAUAUAUUAGAGGAAUUUGAAGAGGAAGAACUAUAAAGUCAGGAGGGGGAAAAUUGCCAGAAACAAUGGCUAACCAGUUGCCUCAGCAUCAUAUAUGGAGCAGCCCACCUUUUCAUCAGUCUGAGAUGCCACUUUUAUCAUAUAAUAAAGGCCUCAUAUAUA
This 411-nucleotide long non-coding RNA is filed under the name Homo sapiens (human). RNAcentral's name for it is "HSALNT0389962". Lineage: Eukaryota; Metazoa; Chordata; Mammalia; Primates; Hominidae. The record is from RNAcentral.